UCACUUUUACCACAUUCUUUUGGUCACAAGGAGAGGGAAUUACACAUCACCUGAUUUUGGAUGCAUGUGUGAGGUAUGCUACUGUACUCACAAGACAUCUGAAACUAUACCCAGAUCAUCUAGAAGUGAACAUGUUCCAGGUGAUGUCCCUAUGUAAACCAAGGGUUGGUUUUCAGUGGUAAAAAGUCAAUUAACCACUGGUGGGCAAUAUCCAAAAUUGAUAGCAGAAACAGAAAAAUAAAAGACUACUCAGCAAAGACAAGUAGAGUUUCUGGAGGCUGGGAUGUCCAAGGUCAAGAUGCUGACAGAUUGAUUGUCCCUGGAAAGCCUGCUUCAUAGAUGACCAUCUUCUCCGUGUGUUCUCCCUGUGUUCUCAGGAGUGGGGUUACCUUUCUGGUGCCUCUUUUUCAUAAGGACACUAUUCCCGUUCCUGAGGGCUCCAUUCUCAUAACACAACAUCCAGAAGGUCCUACAUUCUAAUAUCAUCAUACUGCAGGUUAGAAUUUCAGCAUGUUAAUUUUGGUAUGACACAUUCAGUCUAUAGUAGCAACCCUCCCUUGAAACUCAAU
This 569-nucleotide long non-coding RNA is filed under the name Homo sapiens (human). Its description in RNAcentral is "HSALNT0362419". The record is from RNAcentral. Lineage: Eukaryota; Metazoa; Chordata; Mammalia; Primates; Hominidae.